Molecule: long non-coding RNA, 849 nt
Organism: Astyanax mexicanus (Mexican tetra)
Lineage: Eukaryota; Metazoa; Chordata; Actinopteri; Characiformes; Acestrorhamphidae
Exons: 6
Source: RefSeq, a predicted model, not a curated record
GCCGCUCGCUGCAGCCUGUAGGAAGGCGGAGUUGGACAUCCAACCCCGCCCACAUCCAACUCCGCCCAUGUCCAACUCCGCCUUACGUCUAAAGCAACACCCACCUUACGUCCGUCACGAACACCUACAUUUACUCCCGGUAAACAGGAAUUGUAGCCGAGAAAGCAGCUAAAGCAUCUAUCUGAUUUAUAUCUCCGGUUAUGGCGCAUCCAACACAUGUCCAGGCCACUCCUGACCCUUCACGGUUUGGCCAGUGUGGUGUUUUCAAAUGCCCCUGCUUCAGUUUUGACACUGACCAGCGAUUUAAUAACAGCCUACAUCUACAAAACCAUAUCAAACAAGCAGUCGAGAAUAACGGAAAGUUCAGCGUGUUGAACGUGUGACUGAUGAAGGAGAUAGAAUGGGCAACGUCUCCUUUGAACAGAUGCCCCUUAUUCUCAUAGAUACAGUUCUGGAAGAGGGUGACAAAGCUUUUUUAAAGCUGUCACUGGUUUGUCGUCUCUUCCGGGACAUUGUUUGGACAACAAUCAUUCCGGGCCCAGGCACAUUUCGAGUGGCUUGACAGUGUAGUGCCAUGAAAACAUCACAGUGCUGCAUGUAAAGACGAGUUUCGCAGGAUGUACGAACUGCAGUGCUGCCAGAACUGUCAAGAAACUUAUAAAGACUGCAUACUGGGCUACGUUGGGCAUGGGAGACGAGGGGAGCUUGUGGCAUUUUACAGCGAAAACGAGCACCCUGGAUUCUGCAGCCAGCUUCAUGAGUGGCUGGGUGUGUGAGUGGCUGGGUGUGUGAGUGGCUGGGUGUGUGAGUGGCUGGGUGUGUGAGUGGCUGGGUGUGUGAGUGGCUGGG